RNAcentral lists this ribosomal RNA (301 nucleotides) under uncultured bacterium. RNAcentral describes it as "partial 16S ribosomal RNA". It matches the Rfam family "Bacterial small subunit ribosomal RNA", at positions 509 to 808 of the family's 1533-position model. The record is from RNAcentral.
CAGUAGCCGCGGGAAUACGGAGGGUGCAAGCGUUAAUCGGAAUUACUGGGCGUAAAGCGCACGCAGGCGGUCUGACAAGUCAGAUGUGAAAUCCCCGGGCUUAACCUGGGAACUGCAUUUGAAACUGUCAGGCUGGAGUCUUGUAGAGGGGGGUGGAAUUCCAGGUGUAGCGGUGAAAUGCGUAGAGAUCUGGAGGAAUACCGGUGGCGAAGGCGGCCCCCUGGACAAAGACUGACGCUCAGGUGCGAAAGCGUGGGGAGCAAACAGGAUUAGAUACCCUGUAGUCCCUGUCUCUUAUACA